AGAGAUUGAACAUAAGAGUUUGAUCCUGGCUCAGAUUGAACGCUGGCGGCAUGCUUUACACAUGCAAGUCGGACGGCAGCACGGGGAAGCUUGCUUCUCGGGUGGCGAGUGGCGAACGGGUGAGUAACAUAUCGGAACGUACCGGGUAGCGGGGGAUAACUGAUCGAAAGAUCAGCUAAUACCGCAUACGUCUUGAGAGGGAAAGCAGGGGACCUUCGGGCCUUGCGCUAUCCGAGCGGCCGAUAUCUGAUUAGCUGGUUGGCGGGGUAAAGGCCCACCAAGGCGACGAUCAGUAGCGGGUCUGAGAGGAUGAUCCGCCACACUGGGACUGAGACACGGCCCAGACUCCUACGGGAGGCAGCAGUGGGGAAUUUUGGACAAUGGGCGCAAGCCUGAUCCAGCCAUGCCGCGUGUCUGAAGAAGGCCUUCGGGUUGUAAAGGACUUUUGUCAGGGAAGAAAAGGCCGUUGCCAAUAUCGGCGGCCGAUGACGGUACCUGAAGAAUAAGCACCGGCUAACUACGUGCCAGCAGCCGCGGUAAUACGUAGGGUGCGAGCGUUAAUCGGAAUUACUGGGCGUAAAGCGGGCGCAGACGGUUACUUAAGCAGGAUGUGAAAUCCCCGGGCUCAACCCGGGAACUGCGUUCUGAACUGGGUGACUCGAGUGUGUCAGAGGGAGGUGGAAUUCCACGUGUAGCAGUGAAAUGCGUAGAGAUGUGGAGGAAUACCGAUGGCGAAGGCAGCCUCCUGGGAUAACACUGACGUUCAUGUCCGAAAGCGUGGGUAGCAAACAGGAUUAGAUACCCUGGUAGUCCACGCCCUAAACGAUGUCAAUUAGCUGUUGGGCAACUUGAUUGCUUGGUAGCGUAGCUAACGCGUGAAAUUGACCGCCUGGGGAGUACGGUCGCAAGAUUAAAACUCAAAGGAAUUGACGGGGACCCGCACAAGCGGUGGAUGAUGUGGAUUAAUUCGAUGCAACGCGAAGAACCUUACCUGGUUUUGACAUGUGCGGAAUCCUCCGGAGACGGAGGAGUGCCUUCGGGAGCCGUAACACAGGUGCUGCAUGGCUGUCGUCAGCUCGUGUCGUGAGAUGUUGGGUUAAGUCCCGCAACGAGCGCAACCCUUGUCAUUAGUUGCCAUCAUUCGGUUGGGCACUCUAAUGAGACUGCCGGUGACAAGCCGGAGGAAGGUGGGGAUGACGUCAAGUCCUCAUGGCCCUUAUGACCAGGGCUUCACACGUCAUACAAUGGUCGGUACAGAGGGUAGCCAAGCCGCGAGGCGGAGCCAAUCUCACAAAACCGAUCGUAGUCCGGAUUGCACUCUGCAACUCGAGUGCAUGAAGUCGGAAUCGCUAGUAAUCGCAGGUCAGCAUACUGCGGUGAAUACGUUCCCGGGUCUUGUACACACCGCCCGUCACACCAUGGGAGUGGGGGAUACCAGAAGUAGGUAGGGUAACCGCAAGGAGUCCGCUUACCACGGUAUGCUUCAUGACUGGGGUGAAGUCGUAACAAGGUAGCCGUAGGGGAACCUGCGGCUGGAUCACCUCCUUUCUA
This 1551-nucleotide ribosomal RNA is filed under the name Neisseria gonorrhoeae. RNAcentral describes it as "bacterial SSU rRNA". It matches the Rfam family "Bacterial small subunit ribosomal RNA". The record is from RNAcentral. Lineage: Bacteria; Pseudomonadati; Pseudomonadota; Betaproteobacteria; Neisseriales; Neisseriaceae.